ACUAGAUGAAUUACUUAUGAAUUUUAGAAGUUUUCUAGGUUUUUAGACUAAACAGAAAAGUCCUAAAUCAAUUAUUGCGCAAUUAAUGGGGCUGCUGACGUCAGCGGAGGGAGGUGGCGCUAACGGGUGGGGUCCACCUGUCGGUGGGAGAGGAGGCGAAAGGGGCACUGAUGGGUGGGCCGAGAGGAAGAGAGAGGAGAAAGGGAGGGGCGGUCGGCUGACGAGUGGGGCCCGCUCGUCGGCGGCCUAGCACAGAGGAGCGGGGCGGGAGUUUGGCCUGGAGAGAGAGAGGGGCGGCAGCGCUCGGGC
This 309-nucleotide long non-coding RNA is filed under the name Oryza brachyantha (malo sina). RNAcentral describes it as "long non-coding RNA (OBRA_LNC000837)". The record is from RNAcentral. Lineage: Eukaryota; Viridiplantae; Streptophyta; Magnoliopsida; Poales; Poaceae.